AUGCGGCCAUAUCUCCCACGUGUCGAGGCACGACUUAGAGGCAUAACCGCAUUGUGGUUUUGUCGCAAGAAGGGUCAUCUUCACACAAUCCCAUGUAAUGAACAAGAAUGGGAUAAAGAGUUGGCUUACAAUCGCCACUUCACACAAUACAUAAAUAAAUCAUACAUCAUUCAGAGUACACACACAGGUCCGACUACGGAACCAAAAGAAAAGAAGACAACCCAACUGCUAGAUCCCCGAUCGUCCCAACUGGGCACCACUACUGAUCAAUAUGAAAAGAAACAACACAACGAACAAGAUCUUCAUCGAGCUCCCACUUGA
Molecule: ribosomal RNA, 321 nt
Filed under: Triticum aestivum (bread wheat)
Lineage: Eukaryota; Viridiplantae; Streptophyta; Magnoliopsida; Poales; Poaceae
Description: partial small subunit ribosomal RNA
Source: RNAcentral